Molecule: long non-coding RNA, 476 nt
Organism: Cucurbita maxima (winter squash)
Lineage: Eukaryota; Viridiplantae; Streptophyta; Magnoliopsida; Cucurbitales; Cucurbitaceae
Exons: 3
Source: RefSeq, a predicted model, not a curated record
UAUUCAGCGUGCAACGAGGAACAAUCGAUGCAGAAGGUGUUUUGCUCACGCACAUAUGGCAAAAGAGAUCUACGAAAGUCGAUGAGAUACUGAAUGGAAGAAUUGUUGAUGAAGAUCAGAUUUCCGGCAGUGCGAGGAGAAAAGGACGCAGUGAUCGGAGUGAGUACCUUGAUUUGGAAGAAGAUCACAGCCAAAGUGGAGGCAACGAACGAGAAAUAGGUCACUGAUUUUGUAAAUAGCCAUCAGCCAUUCACGCCUCAAAAUGGAGAACAGGCGUUUCAGCAUUCGAGCUCUAAUGAUGACGUUCGAAUCUGGGAGUCGCCAUCGAAGAAGAUUCAAUCAUCAGAGUGGAGAGUAAAGGCAUCUCGAAAGAUCGACAAAAAAUGCAAGAACAAGAACUUGUGAAGGUAAGAGGGCCUUCUUCCAAGUAGAGUGAAUACUUAACCGAAGAAGACGACUGCGGAGCCAGAAAUGAA